RNAcentral lists this long non-coding RNA (5624 nucleotides) under Selaginella moellendorffii. RNAcentral describes it as "long non-coding RNA (SMOE_LNC000412)". Lineage: Eukaryota; Viridiplantae; Streptophyta; Lycopodiopsida; Selaginellales; Selaginellaceae. The record is from RNAcentral.
UUACUCACAGGAUGGGAAGUUCAGCCUCUCGCUCCAGCUCUUCCGGGAAAUGCUGCUCGAAGGGACUGCUCCAAACAGUGUCACCUUUGUCAGUAUCUUGAGCGGCUGCGAAGCACCAUCUUUACUCGAGCAAGGGAGGCAGAUUCACGCUCUAGUGGUGGAGAGCAGUCUCGAGUCACACGUCGUUGUAGCGAAUUCUCUGCUGGGGAUGUAUAGCAGAUGCCGCAGCUGGGAGGAUUCGAGAAGUUUGUUCGACAGAAUGAGCGUCCGAGACUCGGUUUCAUGGUCGACGAUCAUCAUGGCCUACGAGGAGUUUACCGGAGUUACACGAACUACGGGAAUAUUCCGAGAAUAUUCCAUGGCCUAGCUCUCCUGUUCGCUUCAUCGGUGAUGGCGGGUGAGUAAGAUAUUGAUCUUCAUGAGGAGUAUGGUGUUAGUGAUAAUGGCCAUGAUGAUGUGGAAGAGACUCUUAAUGAUGUCAUUGUGUGUUAGAUUUCUGAGGUUCAGAGCGACGUAACAAGUUCGUGAUUACCAUUGGUAUGUCAAGUAUGCCAAGGAUUAUAGUAUCGUGGAAUGGAAAUCAUCACCGGAUGUUUGUAAUAGUCAAUAGGUUGAUUCUUGGUUAGAAUUGUGAGAAAGUUGUUAGUCUCACAAUCCUUGUGAGGAUAAGGUGAAGAUAGAUUUCUUUGUGAUGAAGUUUACGGGCUAUGCUUAUUCGUGGUGAAAGAACUACAUUAAAGUUAAUUCGAAGCCGACUUCUUAGACUGAUUUGACAAAGGUUUUCUACACUUCGUUUGUCAAAAAGUUUGAAGAAGUUAAUCUCGUGAACUAGCUAUUAAAAAUUUAACAAAGGACUUUGUCUUUGAAUGCAUAUGCCCGCAAGUUCUAUGAUCUUUGCCUUAAUCUCAUGGGCACCUAUAAUGAGCUGUUAAAAGUGCAAUGUUUCAUCAAAAAAUUGAGCUUAGUGGAUAUGUAGCAAAAGGUCAAAAAGGAUUUUCCUACAACAUUGACUGAUGCAAUCACUAGGGCUCAGAUCUUUUCACCCAAACUGUCAGUCAACUUAGUCAACUCUAGUCAACAGGAUGGUCUAUGGGGAGGUCAACGUGAUAACCAAACCACCAAUACUUCAUCUUUAGAGAAGAAAUUCCUAUUAUUCUAUCAUAGCUUGAAGAGUGGAGAUGGUAAUGAGGCCAAAAGACAUUGUUUGGACUAAUGAGAGAAGGAUAAAGCAGAGGGCAAUUAUUUUCAUUGCCAUAGGGCUGAACAUUAGAGCAAAAAUUGUUCUGAAAGGGUCAAUGAAUGAAUGAAUGGCAACAUUAUCUAUAUGGAUCAGACUUCCAUGUGGAUUUAGAUCAUCAAUCUCUCUAAUAUUUCAGUCGACAAAAGGAUCUUCGAGACCGCCUUGCUCAUUGGCAAGAGUUCCUAUAGGAAAUGUUUGUUAAAAUCCAGUACAAGUAUAGAGGUGACAAUAAGGUGGCUGAUGUAUUAUCCAGGAUGGUAAAUUCUAUCUUGUUCAUAAAGUUAUCCAGCGAUCUCUUAGAUGAGCUUAAGGAGUUUGCUGACUUCGACUCCUUUAUCACUAAUAUUUGCGCGAAGGUUUUGUUGAGGGACGCCUCUACAAAUUUGAAGGGUAACAAGUUUGCAUCAUUCGAAAUACGAGAUGGAAUUCUAGUGAAGAAGGGACAUGUAGUGGUUUCUCGUGUUAACAAACUCAUCAAACAAAUUUUGGUUGAGUGUUAUGAUGUGCCAAGUGUUGGGCAUUCGGGGGUAUUGAGAAAGUAUAUUUUGGUGAAGAGGCAUUUCUUUUGGCCUGGGAAAGUCAGAUGUUGAGAAAUACAUACAUGGUUGUUUGACUUGCCAAGCAAUCAAAAAUUAAUCAUCAAAAGCUCGCUGGCCUCUAUCAUCCUUUACGUGUACCCGAGAAUAAAUGGGAUAGCAUCUCAAUGGACUUUAUCAUUGUUUUGCCCAAAACCUUUCAAAGAAAUGAUGCUAUUUGGGUUGUUGUGGAUCGUUUGACCAAGAUGGCUCACUUCUUCCCUGUGAAAAUGACGAUAAAAGCUUCUGAACUUGCUCAGUUGUUUGUAGACCGGUUAUUUAGUCUCUAUGGUUUGCCAGGUGACAUUGUGAAUGAUCAGGAUUCCAAGUUCACGUCCAAAUUUUGGCAAACAGUCUUUGAAAAGCUAGAGACUAAGUUGAGCAUGAGUAGUGGUGAGCAUCCACAAUCUAAUGGACAGACAGAACGCAUGAAUCAGCUAUUAGAAGAUAUGCUAAGGUUUUUUGUGGGAAACUUGACUCGACAGAGAGUAUGGGAGAAGUACUUACCUUUACUUCACUUUGCUCAUAAUAGCGCUCAUCAAUCAGCUAUUGGCAUGUCUCCCUUUAUAGCAAUAUAUGGCUAUGAGCCUAAGCCUCUUGUGAGUUUGAAUUUGGCUUUGGUUUGGGUACCUCAUGCUUGUGAUUUUCUAGAGGAUAUGCAAAACAAACUUGAGUUGGCAAAGUUGAACAUAAGGCAAGCUCAAUAACAAGACAAAAGAUUAGCUGAUGAGCAUCAUCGUCAUCAAGAGUACAAAGUUGGUAACAAGGUUUUCCUUAAGCUGUCAGAUGCACAACAGUUUCUGAAAGGAGGUGGCAGUGCUAAGUUGCCUCCAUAGUAUUGUGGAUCUUAGACAAUUUUACAGCGUGUAGGGGAUCUUGCAUACACUUUGGACUUGCUAGUUAAUUCAAAAAUUCAUCCAACAUUCCAUGUGAGUAAGCUUAAAGCGUGUUUGCACUCUGGUGAUAUUGUGGAUCAAUCCAUCAUCCAAGUCCCAAAGAUUGAUGCAAAGAAGGUUGGUCCAACCAAUAUUCUUGCUCAAAGAUUGGUGAAAACACGCCAGAAGACAACUAAAGAGUUGUUAGUUCAAUGGAAUGAUUAUUCCAUGGACGACGCUACAUGGGAAAUUGAGGAUGACAUGAAGAGAGUGUUUCCAAGUUUUGGUUAUAAUUUAGAUGACAUUUUUGAGGAAGGGGAAAAUUGAGUUUUAUAUCCGUAUUGCUAUAUAAUUUGAGCUGUUUGUUCUAUUUUCAUUCUUUUGUUUCUAUGAUUAUAUUGUCAUGUGAAAAAGCUAUAUUGCUUUCUUUCUUUCAUGGCCAUUUGCUGUGACAUUGGUGUUGCCAUUUGCACACCUUUUCUCCAUGGCCAUAUUGCCUUUUGACUCCCUUCAUGUGAGGCUCGUUUAACUUCUUAAGGCUGCCUUAUGUUGCUAGGUCAUCAGAACGACACAAACCACAAGAAUAUUCUGAGAAUAUUCCAUGACCUCUGGGAUUUAAAGCAGCUUGGGCUAGGGUUCACUCUCCUGUUCGUUUCAAUGACAGAUGAGGUAAAUAGGACCAACACGCUUCCAAAUCUUCGAUAAUCUUUCUCUAUCAUUUCAUAGGCUCCAGUUCAAAAGCAAGUGGUCUCUCUUUCCAAUUCCCUGAGCUGCUUAGAGCUGAGAAAAUGCAUCAAAGAAAAAGUCCCUCACGUCCUGUUAGACGUCCGUGACGAGCACCAGUACGCCAUCAGCGCGCUGCCACAGUCGACAAACAUUCCUCUCUCGCAACUCCAGAAGAACAGCCAAGAGCUCCGCGAUAUCAUACUCGACGACGAGAAGAUGCCAGUCUUUGUCAUCUGCUGGAGGGGGAAUAGCUCUCAGGAAGCUGUGGAGCUGCUCAGAAACUCUGGAGUUAACGCCUUGGAUGUCACAGGAGGACUUGAGGCGUGGUCCAGAGAGGUAGACUCCAAGUUUCCUUUGUACUAAAUCGUUUUUUCUCUACAGGAAAGCUCAAGGUCUUGGUUUUCUUAGAAACAAAGCACUUUUUCUUUCGAGAAUCAUCAAAAGUUUCGCCGUUAGGUAAAGAGUUUUGCUUGAGAAAGACUACAAUGGAAGAAAAGUUCAAGCCAACCAAUGGCUAGAACCAACGUAUUUUCCCACAGGGAGUUUGAUCUAUCAAAAACACCAUGGCGGUUGUAUAUAAAUCUAAGCUGCAUCGUCGUCUUGGGCGCUAGAAGCAAGCGCCUAGCAAACAACAGCAACACAAGGCCCCCAAACUGGAAGAAAAAAAAGGAUCAACAAAUGCAAAAAAAAAGGGAAGAGCUUCGAGCGAAGCGAGGCUCCAGAGAUUUUGGAACUAUAAAUUUACCAUCCCUGGAUGAACGACGGGCCUUUGUUGUUCUGAUGAUUCUCCUCCUGCUUAUAUCCCGGCUGUUGGACUGGAUAGCCCGCUGGAGGAUAGCCUUGCGGAGGACAUCCCUGGGGAGGAUAGCCUUGCGGAGGAUACGCUGAAACACCCCAGAUCUCUCAGAUAUCCAGGCAAAGAUCUCGCGAUUUCUCGCGGCGCUUACCUUGACCAUAGCCUUGCGGCGGCGGCGCUUGCACUGGCGGCUUCUGAUCGUAGUAGCUCAUCCUCUCCUGACUCGUUCGUUUUGCUUUCGAUCGUGGUGCGUGUACCCGUUAUAAAGGAGGCCAUAAACGCGGAAUGAUAUUUCCUAGGCUUGACGGACGGUCACUGCUUCGAUAGCAAUGGCUGAUGGAGCGUGGUCAAGACGGCUUCGGCAGUGCAAGGGUUUAUGGGGUUUAGGGCUGACGAUGCCCCCUGUUUUUAAGGGUUCUUGAGGAUGAGGAAGCUCUGGCGAUGGCGACGCGCCAGCUUGCGCCAGGUUCGUGCUCGAUUUGUCGCGGAUUUUGAUUGAUUCUCGUGUUUUCAGGGAGAAUGCCGUGGCGCGGGUUGUUUGUUUCGAGCAUAUCGACGCAAUGCGGGUCUUCCAGUGAUUUGUUCGAUGUCUCGGCAUUGCUGCGGCUAGGAGGAGCAAAGGCGGCGCUGGAUUAUCUCGAUUCCAGGCAAGGUCGAGAUGGUUUCUUGGAUUCUUCCACGCUCGCGAGGUUGCUGCUGGAUUGUGGAAGAUCCAGCGCUCUCGCGGAGGGCCGGCGCGUCCACGAGUACGUUGUGAGAUCCAGGUUUGUCCGCGACGCGUUCCUUGGCAAUCACCUCGUCCAUAUGUAUCUCAAGUGCCAGAGCUUCGACGAGGCCGAGAGGGUUUUCCAGAGCGCUGCUUGUGAGAGCUUUGAUGUUGCAACGUGGACAGCAGUGAUCGUCGCUAGAGCGGGGCUCGGGAAAUGGAAGUUGGUGUUUGGUCAGCUGGAUGAGAUGGAUCGGAGAGGGAUUCCACCGGACAGGGUCAUGAUCAAGACGUUGUUCACUGCUUGUACCAAGCUCGGUGCUCUGGAAGAAGGGAAACUUAUCCAGGAUCGUCUAGCAGGAACCCAGCUCGAGCUCGAUAUUGGUGUGCUCAACCUCACGAUCAACAUGUACGUGAAGUGUGGUUGCCUAGAUGGAGCAGUGCAAACUUUCGCGAGGAUGAAGCGACGGGAUGUGGUCUCCUGGACUGUGAUGAUCGGAGCUUACUCACAGGAUGGAAAGUUCAGCCUCUCGAUCCAGCUCUUCCGGGAAAUGCUGCUCGAAGGGACUGCUCCAAACAGUGUCACCUUUGUCAGUAUCUUGAGCGGCUGCGAAGCACCAUCUUUACUCGAGCAAGGGAGGCAGAUUCACGCUCUAGUGGUGGAGAGCAGUCUCGAGUCACACGUCGUUGUAGCGAAUUCUCUGCU